CUCGGGCUGUCUCGGUGCCUUUAUUCGGUGGCUCCGCGCAGCGGGUGGGGACACCCCUGCAGAAAAUUUUGGGGUGCAGGGGCAGCAGCGUGCUGGGGUGGCCCCACUGAGCGGGGGGACACGGCAGGGCCCCCCCAGCUCCCCUCAGGGCUGGUGGGGGGCAGCGGGGCCCCGCGGUGCGGUCAGGGGGCGGCGGGACCCCCGGCUCCGUCCUCGCGUGGGUCCGCGCUGGGUCACCGGUGCCUCUCCCGCCCACGCCGCAUGGGCGCCCGGUGCCUCCUGGCCCCGCAGCGGGACGGGGCAGAGAGCAGGGGAUGGAGCGGGGGGAUGCGGGGGGAGCAGGAGCACCGGUGGCGUGCCGCCCUCCCACGUCGAUGGUGGGAUCGGGGCGCUGCAGGGCAGGGGCGAGGUGCACGGCGGCAAGGGGAUGGCGGCGGAGGAAGAGGAGGAAGGCAAAGGGGACGAGGAUUCGCUGGAGCCAUGGCCGCGCUCCUCCUGCCCCCACUCAGCCCCUCGCCAACCCCUGACGAAAUGUUUGCUGGUUGUGCAAGCGGCGGCGGCAGCAGCGCUUUGGCAGAGCGAAGGCCCCGGGGACGCCCCAGCGCCCCCCCCCCCCCCCGGCGCAGCCCCCUGGGCCGAGGGGCCCGGCCGGCCCCCCCUGCCCCCGGCCCAUCCCCGGGGCCNNNNNNNNNNNNNNNNNNNNCCCCACGGCGCAGCCCCCUGGGACGGGGGGCUCGGCCGGACCCCGCUGCCCCCGGCCCAUCCUCGGGGCCAGCCCUGCCCAGGGCAGCACCCGACCGGGACAGGGACAGAGAGCGGCGCUCCCCGGGGCUCUGCCCUGCCCGGUGCGCGGUGCCGGUGACAGCGGCCGGUGUCCCCCGGGGGGACAAUGCCAGGGGGGGAAUCGCUCCCUGCGGUGCCAGAGCCGCCACGCCGUGCCUGGGCCUUCCCCCUCCUCGCGGCGCUUCCCUGCGGCCUCCCUCCCCUCCUGGCUGGUGCUGCCCAGCUCUGGCCUCCUCCCUCUGCCCACCGCCAACCUCUCUGUCCCGCGUGAGCGUCUUCCCCUUCUUGGAGUCCCGUGGGUCGGCCCCGGCCACGGCCAGGAGGGCCACGGCGAGGGCGCAGAGCAGCCGCAGCCUCAUGGCGCUGCGCGGGGCACGGCUCAGCUGCCCGGUGCCACCGCCGGGUGCUCCCCGCCUGGACCUUGGCCCCUGCGGCCGCCCAGCUCAGGAGCGGCCACCCACCGGCCGGGAGGGCAGCAGCGAGGGGCUGGGGGGGCUGCAGGGCUGCUCCUCUCCAGGCCAGGCACGGGCCAGCUCCCCCCCUGCCAGCCCUGCCACCUCCCGGGUCUGCCAGCACCUCCCCACCUCCCCGUCCCCUUCUGCUCUUGGUGGCGGGCACCAGCACCCGGUGCCCAGGCACAGGGCAGCCCCAGGAGCCGCGGGCCCAAGGGGGGGGAUUGGGUUUGUAUGGCAAGGUCUGGUAGUGGGGGGCUGCGGGGGGGGGUCCCUGUGAGCCGGGCCCAGCCGCUGCCCGGUGUCAGAGCAGAGCCGGCUCCGGCUGCCCCAAAGGGCCACGGCUGGGCCGCGAGUGCUGCCGGCUGUGCUGCUGGGGGAGCAGAGUUAGGGAAGGGGGCGGAAAAAAAUUGCUGCACCACAGCAGCUGGGAGAGAGGAGAGAGAAACGUGAGAGACCCUGCAGCCCCCAGGGGAGCGCGGCAGGAGGGCAGGAGGUGCUCCAGGCACGCAGCACAAUUCCCCUGCGGCCUGUGGAGAGGCCCCUGGUGGAGCAGGCUGUCCCCCUGCA
Molecule: long non-coding RNA, 1805 nt
Organism: Anser cygnoides (Swan goose)
Lineage: Eukaryota; Metazoa; Chordata; Aves; Anseriformes; Anatidae
Source: Ensembl